This 498-nucleotide ribosomal RNA is filed under the name uncultured bacterium. RNAcentral's name for it is "partial 16S ribosomal RNA". It matches the Rfam family "Bacterial small subunit ribosomal RNA", at positions 30 to 523 of the family's 1533-position model. The record is from RNAcentral.
AUUGAACGCUGGCGGCAUGCUUUACACAUGCAAGUCGAACGGUAACAGGCCGCAAGGUGCUGACGAGUGGCGAACGGGUGAGUAAUGCAUCGGAACGUGCCCAGUCGUGGGGGAUAACGCAGCGAAAGCUGUGCUAAUACCGCAUACGAUCUAUGGAUGAAAGCGGGGGACCGUAAGGCCUCGCGCGAUUGGAGCGGCCGAUGUCAGAUUAGGUAGUUGGUGGGGUAAAGGCUCACCAAGCCAACGAUCUGUAGCUGGUCUGAGAGGACGACCAGCCAGACUGGGACUGAGACACGGCCCAGGCUCCUACGGGAGGCAGCAGUGGGGAAUUUUGGACAAUGGGCGCAAGCCGGAUCCAGCAAUGCCGCGUGCAGGAAGAAGGCCUUCGGGUUGUAAACUGCUUUUGUACGGAACGAAACGGCGAGCUCUAAUACAGUUUGCUAAUGACGGUACCGUAAGAAUAAGCACCGGCUAACUACGUGCCAGCAGCCGCAGUAA